CCACCAGUUUCGUCCCCCUUCCAAGCCCCUCGCCGGCGAAAACUGGUGUUGUACGGUUGCGCCGCUGUGGCCGGCACAAUUCCGGCGGAAAUGGCGGUUUCGCGUCUCGCUGGAGCAGAAGUGCGAGCAGAGGGAAUUCGCUCCGACGCCGGUUCAACCCCUGAGGCAUCCGCUCGCGAUUCUCGCUCUCGUCCCCAAGGACGCCGCCAUCUUCGCCGCCGGAGCCAUCGCCGGAGCCGCCCGCGAAGACUGUCAUGACUCAUCGCUCCACUCGACCGCAUCAAGAUUCUCAUGCAGUCUCAUGGGGUACGAGUUGGAUAUCAGAGCGGGACGAAGGCAAUUGGUUUUAUAGAGAAAUUAUUCAAAGGGAAAAACGGCGAGCUCUGAGUAAUCGGAAGACUUGCAGCAGGUUCUUGUGCUGGCAUGACAUCUACUUUCAUAACGUAUCCAUUAGAUGUCUUGAGAUUAAGGUUGGCAGUUGAACCUGGGUACUGAACCAUGACUCAGGUUGCUUUGAAUAUGCUCCGUGAAGAAGGAAUUGCAUCCUUCUAUCAUGGCCUCGGACCAUCUCUUGUGGGGAUAGCUCCGUACAUCGCUGUCAACUUCUGCAUUUUCGAUCUGUGAGCCCGCUUUUGUAUUCUCUCCCGUGUUUUUUGAUGCACCCGAAAAAGAGAGGAGAGAAACUAGAGCGGGAACUGACGUCUGAUGAAAAAACAGAGUGAAGAAGUAUUUACCAGAGAAAUACAGAGAAAAGGCACAGUCAUCGAGCUCGAGGUUGAAAAGGAAAAGGCACCAUCAAAAUCUCCCUAGAGGCAGAAGGAGUUAGUCGUGAGCAUUCAUCAAGCGCUCUUGUUUUGUUUUGUGUAUGUGUGUUUUAGGAAAAGUUUUGGUAGAAGUGAGCUGUUGCUGUGUUGGAUUAGAUGCAAACCAAAUGGGUAGAAAUUUUGUUAGCCUAAAUCCCUUUCCACAAACCUAAAGGCUUCUGAAACCGUGAACCGUACAAAUUCACCCGUCAUUUCCACACACACGCUCAGUCUCCUUUUUUCCAUAUCUUCAUUCAACUUCCAUUUCCUAUACAAUGCUGUGUUACUGUGUGUCUUACGAACACGCACGCAACGCAACGAAUCACAUUUGCCCAAGCAAGAAACACUAAACCUCCAUUAUCAAAUAUAAGCUUACCCCUGACCUUCGUCGUAAUUACGGCGAUGCCAUUAGGUUUGGUUAAAGGCUUAAAGCUCCCUGUCUUUCCAAGCCCCCGGCCGCUCUCCAUCUCGGUUUCUCUUCUGCUUUUUUUUUUUUUUUGUUUUAAAUCUCACUGUCGAUUCUCAUCUAUCAUACGCUUUCUGGUCUCAACCUCUUAAGUCUCCGCCGCCGCCUACUCUCUCUCUCGAUCUCUCUCAGCCUCCCCCGUCUCUCUCUCGCGAUCUCAGGGUCGAAAAGGAUCAGUUUCUCCGCCCCUUUGACCUAAUGUUUGUAAAAGUAGCCUGAGUUCUGACUCUGUCUUUGGAAGGAAGCUAAGAUGACGCCAAUGGUCCGGAGAAUGGCUGCUUUCGCAUUUGCUUCUGCCUCAGGUUUAGUUCAGAUUCAUCCCCUGGGGAGAGGUACUCUGAACAAUUUCUCACAUUGUUCCUCUGUUUUAAGUUGUCCGAGAUCGGCUUUUUCCGGUAUUAGAUAUUGCAGUGUAUCUUACCGAGACAGAUUGAGAUGUGGGUUUCAUGAUUGCCAUGCCGAGGAUGCCAUUGAUUUGUUCGAUCAGAUGGUGGAGUCUCGUCCCUUACCGUCCAUCGUUGAUUUCACUAAACUAUUGAGUGCGGUCAUGAAAAUGAAACGGUAUGAUGUUGUGAUUUCCCUCUGCGAGAGAAUGGAAUUGCUUGGGGUUUCACAUAAUAUCUAUUCGUACAAUGUUAUGAUCAACUGUUGCCGCUCUCAUCAAGUGGUUUAGGGCUUAUCUGUUGUGGGAAAAAUAUUGACACUCGGUUACGAACCUGAUGUAGUCACCUACACUACCAUAGCUCAUGGGUUCUGUAUCCAGGGCAAGAUUUCCGUGGUGUUUAGCUUGGUUGACCAAAUGGUGAAAGAAUGAUACAAACCUAAUGUUGUAACAUUUAACACUUUGGUCAACGGAUUUUGCUUUGAGAGUAGAGUUUAUGAAACAUUGAGUUUACUUGACCAAGUGCUAAAGAUGGAUUGUCGACCCCAUAGAGUUUCAUUCGGCAUUGUUAUAAAUGGGGUCUGCAAGGCGGGGAUUUUGCGUUGGCCAUGAAUCUGCUCAUGAAGAUGGAGGAAAUGCGUACUGAGAUCGAUGUCAUAAUUUCUAAUACAAUUAUUGAUUUUCUUUGCAAAGCUGGACACAUGGAUGAUGCACUGAACCUUUUCGAAGUGAUGGGUAAUGUCGGCAUUGUACCAAAUGUUGUUACAUACACCUCUUUGGUUAACGACCUUUCCAGAUUUGGUAGAUGAGACGAUGUUGCCCGAUUGUUGAGUGAGAUGGUGAAAAAGGAAAAUCACCCGUGGUGUUGUCACGUUCAAUGGAUUAAUCGAUGCACUCCUUAAAAAGGAAAGGUUUCUGGAGGCUAAAGAUUGUACGAGGAGAUGAUCCGAAGAGGUUUAGUUCCAGAUACUAUUAUUUAUACUUCAUUGAUCAAUGGUUUUUGCCUGCAGAACCGUCGUGCCAGGGCAGAACAAAUGUUCAAUUAUAUGACCACCAAGGGAUGUUUUCCUAAUACCGUGACUUUUGAUUCUAUGAUAAAUGGUUACUGCAAGGCUAAUAGGUUCGAUAAGGGUAUGAAUCGCUUUUAUGAGAUAUCUCGAAGAGGAUUGGAUGUCGAUUCAUUUACUUACAACAUCCUCAUCCAAGGGUUUUAUUGAGUAGGCAACCUUGAUGCUGGCCAAAAGUUUUUCCGGGAGAUGCAUUAUAAGGGUCAUCAUCAUAAUCUUAUAACUUACAACAUUUUGCUUGAUGGUCUUUGUAAGAACGGAAAAACGGACAAGGCACUUGGUCUAUAUAAUAAGCUGCAAAAGAGUGGGAUUGACCUCCAUAUAUCUUUCCAUAAUGUCAUGAUGCAUGGUUUGUGCAAGGUUGAGAGAGUUGACGAGGCAUUUGUAUUAUUUGAUAGGCUUCUUAAGAAAGGGGUGAAACCGAAUGUUAUCACGUAUAAUAUAAUGAUCUCCGGACUUUGCGGAAAAGGUUCACUCUAUGAAGUCGAAAAGGUAAUUGGGAAGAUGAAAGAAGAUGGUUGUUUUCCUGAAGGUGGUACAUGUAACGCAUUGAUCAGGGGUCGUCUCAGAAGUGGCUCUCCAUCGAUGGUUAUCGAGCUGAUACAAGAAAUGCAGAACAAUGGGUUUUCUAUGCAUGCAUCGUCCUCAACUACGAUAACAUAUAUGGUAUCUGAAGGCAGGUUGCAAAAGGGGUUUUUGGAUCUCCUCUCUUAAGUUUGUAAGUACUAAAAAAUUACAUGGAUGUUUGUUUGAGUGUGUAUAUAUAAUCGAGAUCUCCUUUGAUGCCAUCUGUUUAACGUGUUUGAGUGUCAUGACUACAUUACAUUUAUUCCGACUUUGAUACUUGUAAUGUUUUUUUCCUGAACAUAUUAGGUUCUGGUGAAUGAGAAGAUUUAUGGGAUGA
This is a long non-coding RNA of Tarenaya hassleriana, 3622 nucleotides long. RefSeq lists it as uncharacterized. Lineage: Eukaryota; Viridiplantae; Streptophyta; Magnoliopsida; Brassicales; Cleomaceae. The transcript has 6 exons. The record is from RefSeq and is a predicted model, not a curated record.